RNA transcript from Acinonyx jubatus (cheetah), 3257 nucleotides. It is a transcript of the gene named 2,4-dienoyl-CoA reductase 2, with no coding region annotated. The transcript has 9 exons. The record is from RefSeq and is a predicted model, not a curated record. NCBI's taxonomy places the organism in Eukaryota, Metazoa, Chordata, Mammalia, Carnivora, Felidae.
UGAAUGAAGCUGUGGGCGGGGCUAGCGGGGAGGUCGGCCCAGUGGGAUGAGCGUCACGGAAGAGGCGAGGGCCGCUGUGGGCAGGGCAUCCUGGGAGGAGAGUGGAGGCCGCUGUGGGCGGAGCGUCACGGAGAGGCAAGGGCCGACUUGGGCGGGGGCGUCUGGGAGGAGCAAGAAGGCGGCUGUGGGCUGGCCUAGCGGGGCCUCCGGAUCUGGGUCCGGGCGAGUGCUGAGCGCCUACGCUUCUAUCCGGCGGUGGGUCUCCGCUGCUGUCGGAUCCUGGGUAGGUCCCUGUUGUGCUCGCCGCCCUUAACCCGCACCGAGAGCCAUGGCCCAGCCGCCGCCCGACGUCAGUGAGGACGAGUGUCUUCCCGAGUACCGCCAUCUCUUCUGCCCGGACCUGCUACGGGACAAAGUGGCCUUCGUCACAGGUGGUGGCUCUGGGAUUGGGUUCCGAAUUGCUGAGAUUUUCAUGCGGCACGGCUGCCACACUGUCAUCGCCAGCAGAAGCCUUCCAAGAGUGUCAAUGGCUGCCAGAAAGCUGGCUGCUGCCACUGGCCAGCGAUGCCUGCCUUUGUCUCUGGACGUUCGCGCUCCCCCGGCCAUCACAGCUGCUGUGGACCAGGCACUGAAGGAGUUUGGGAAAAUUGACAUUCUCAUUAACUGUGCGGCCGGAAACUUCCUGUGCCCUGCCAGCACAUUGUCCUUCAACGCCUUCAAGACCGUGAUGGACAUUGACACCUUGGGCACCUUCAACACGUCUCGUGUGCUUUAUGAGAAGUUCUUCCGGGACCACGGAGGGGUGAUUGUGAACAUCACUGCGACCCUGGGCAGCCGGGGGCAGGUGCUUCAAGUGCACGCAGGCUCUGCCAAGGCGGCUGUGGAUGCAAUGACACGGCACUUGGCUGUGGAGUGGGGUCCCCAGAACAUCCGUGUCAACAGCCUCGCCCCUGGCCUCAUCAGCGGCACAGAGGGGUUCUGGCGGCUGGACAGGUGUCUGGGGCAAAGGAGGCCUUCUGAAGGGAAUCUUGUCCACAACCCCUCUUGGGACGCCUCCUGCGGUGCUCUUUCCAGGACCUGCCUCCCACCCACAGAGAGCAUCAAACUGGACAGUGCAGCGGCACCUGAAUCCGAGACUGGCCUCUCCCCUGGGAGCCAUGCUGUGUCCACCUUCCCUCCCCCCGGCCCCAUCUCCCGUGCUCGGGCAGGAGUGACCAGGCUAUGAUGCUGCCCGCUGAGCUGCCCGCACCACGCGGGUGUCGCCAGAGGGGCUUUGACAUUCCAGAGCUGCCCCAGGAGUGGGGAUGCAGCCAAGGUGCUGCCCCACGUGCCUGCCCUGCCUCGCCCCGGCCUGGGAGGCCUUCAUUCUGCUGCUGCAGAAAGCGGGUGUCCCAUGGGUGUCCCGAGGCAGCCCUGCUGCAGAAAGCGGGCCUUUCAGGCUCCCUGUCUUCCCUUCCUGGCUCUUCCAUUUUGGGAUCUUAUUCGACUAAACCAGGAAGCCAAACCAGGGAGCCUGGAAAAGCAUCUUUGACCCCUCCCACCCCAGGCCUGGUAUCCUGGAUCCCCUUACCAGGGUGUCGGGCUGCAUACGGGAUCCCCCCCGCCUGGGGGUCACCCAUCCCUAUCAGCCUUUGGUGACACGGGCUGGGUUGCUCCCCACCUGUCCCGGAGCCAGUCUGUCCUUUGCUGGGACGUCCUAGUGGACUUAGUCCUUUGCCAUUCAGAGACUACUUUCUAGGUCCUCCAGCUGGCCAUUGUCUUCAUCAGCACCCCCCAUAGUUCCAAAGGGCUCAGAAAAUUCUGGCCUCGGGCGCCUCGGGGGCACAGUCGGUUGAGGGUCUGACUCUUGAUUUUGGCUCGGGUCGGGAGUUUACGGUUCGUGGAAUCCAGCCCUGUGCUGACAGUGGAGCCUGCCUGGGAUUCAUUCUCUCUCUCUCUCUCUCUCUCUCUCUCUCUCUCUCUCUUCCCCUCCCCCGCUUUCUCUCUCUCUCAGAAUAAAUAAACAAAUUUUAAAAACUACUUUUUUUACUAUGAAACAUCUAUUUGUUGGACUUUGCGAACUUUUUUUAUUCUUCGUUUAUUUUUGAGAGACAGCGAGACAGUACAAGUGGGGGAGGAACAGAGAGAGAGAGAGACAGAGAGACACAGAAUCUGAAGCAGGCUCCAGACUCUGAGCUGUCAGCACAGAGCCCAACAUGGGCUCAAACUCACAAACCGUGAGAUCAUGACCUGAGCUGAAGUCAGAUGCUUAACCGAUGGAGCCACCCAGGCGCCCCUGUAAAGAUUUUUAGGAGGAAGAGGGUGAUGCUUGAAAAGAAUCAUGGGUGAUCUGGUCAUUUGGAGUGGGGGGGUGCUUCCUACCUGUCCUCCUCCGGUGAGGGGUUUAGAGGCCGCCUCCCGCCUCCUACCUGAUACUUCCUGAGACACAGGCACUGGGAGGCUGCCUGCUUCCCUGGUGGGAGGGGGUGUGCUCAGACCAGCCAGGUCCCCAAGGGGGCUGCCUUGCCCUGCAAGUCCCGGUUUGCUCCUGGACAGUGCUGGCCGCUGUUAGAGCAUGGAGCUUCAGUUCUCUGCCCCAGGUGCCACAUCACACGUCCCUUGUCCCCGAGCCUUUGUUCCGUGGAAAGAGACUGUACCUGUCUUUGAGGGUGCAGGGGAGUGGUAAGGAGGCCCCAGAACCACACUGGCUGAGAAGCCACCUGGCAGAGGGUGCUCCACUUGCUUUAAAGGUGCUUCUUGUCACGGAGACCGGAACGUGGUGGCAUCAUGUCCGCCAGCAAGGCAGACGAAUGGGUCCUUCUCAUGCAGCUGGGUGGAAACACAAAGCAGUGAGAGUGGUUACUGGGCAGGCUGGCCAGUGAAAGGCAGAGGCUGUCAUUAGACAACUCCCCCCGCCCCCCCGCUGGCCGAGCUUGGGUUGCGGUCCUUCCUUGAGGAAGGACCUGGCUGGUGGCCAGAGGUAGGCUGAUGGCCAGGGUCUCUUCUGCCUUUGAAGGCUGGGACGCACAGCUGAGGUGCAAACUCCCUUCCACGGGGGAUCUGGCCAAAAACAAAAACAAAAACAAAAAAAAAACACUUGCUGGGACUCAACAAUGGCUUACUUCCAGGAGAACAGAGUCUGGAAAGAAGGUUGCAGGACCAGGCCUUUUACUGCUGCGUCAGCGUUCUCCGAAGGAGCAGGACCAAUAGGAUAUAUAGAGCCAUCUCUAGAUUCCCUCAGGAAGUGUCAGGUUCUCUGAAAGGACGGGUAAUUCCGU